This is a long non-coding RNA of Onychostoma macrolepis, 943 nucleotides long. RefSeq lists it as uncharacterized. The record is from RefSeq and is a predicted model, not a curated record. The transcript has 5 exons. NCBI's taxonomy places the organism in Eukaryota, Metazoa, Chordata, Actinopteri, Cypriniformes, Cyprinidae.
GUUCACUUCGGGUUGCGUGGUCGACCAACGACAGCAUGCCACCGUUAUUUAACAGAAUUAUACCAUAUUUUUUUCCAACGUGAACAAGACAGCAUUUUGGAUUAUCUGCAUGAGGUAAAGGGAUGAUUGAGCGACCGACCGAUCGAUGGAGUUCAGAGUCAGACUGACAUCACAUCAGAUGUCUGCCAUUUCUGCUGACCUCGAGAAGACUGGUAACCUGCCUGUGACUCCUCGUUUGAUCCUGCUUGGUGAAAAUCCGGGGCAAUGGAUGAAACGGUGGAUGAUCAGCCUGGAAGGCUGAAUAAUCUCGGUGUGCAGCCAACUUUUCUCACUGGACUUGCUGCAUUGUUCUCUUUGUAUUACAUCUUUAAUCUGCAGUACCAGGAGGAAGCAGCAUCCACACAGGAAUUCCUUCAAAGACGUUUUGUUGGAAUAAAUCCUGAAAAGGGGACCAAGGCUGCCAGAGGAAAAGUUACAUCCAAAAAAACUGUGAAAACGGUGCAAAAGAAAACCAUAACCGUCAACACCAAAGUGUCAAACCUCUUAAAGAGACUUAUGGACUUUGAGUGGGACUUCAUUUUAAAAAAUGUAGUUGACAACCCCACACCCAUGCAGGUUGGUUUUUGAAAAAUGUGCUGGCCUGGUGAGUUGCACUUUGUUUAUACCAAGUUAUUUAGGUAUUAAAAAUGCUGAUGCUUUGUUAAAGCAUGUUGUUUAUUUGAUUAUUUUUAAUAAUUUGUUUGUUUCAGUGCAAUUGUUUUUGGAGUAAUGUUUGAAGCCUGAUUCGAUAUAUUGUUUGUUUUUGUUUGUUUGUUUGCUUUUUCGUAAGCCAUUUUUGUAUUUUGAUAUGUUGAUGGGUGUUUAUUUUUUUAUGUGCACUGAAUAUUACUUGAAUACUUUUACAUUUUUAUCAUAAUAAAAAAAAAAAAAUCCUAACUUGGCU